UAAUUGCAUUAAAAAAAGAAA
This 21-nucleotide non-coding RNA is filed under the name Caenorhabditis elegans. Lineage: Eukaryota; Metazoa; Nematoda; Chromadorea; Rhabditida; Rhabditidae. The record is from RNAcentral.